CGUAGAGUACGUUGACGUCCGUGACGCGAAGACGACGCUGGCGGCGUGCCUAAUACAUGCAAGUCGAGCGGACCGGAUGGGGCUGCCUUGAUCGUCAGCGGCGGACGGGUGAGUAACACGUGGGCAACCUGCCCGCAAGACCGGGAGUAACUCCGGGAAACCGGAGCUAAUACCGGAUAACACCGAAGACCGCAUGGUCUUUGGUUGAAAGGCGGCCUUUGGGCUGUCACUUGCGGAUGGGCCCGCGGCGCAUUAGCUAGUUGGUGAGGUAACGGCUCACCAAGGCGACGAUGCGUAGCCGGCCUGAGAGGGUGACCGGCCACACUGGGACUGAGACACGGCCCAGACUCCUACGGGAGGCAGCAGUAGGGAAUCUUCCGCAAUGGGCGAAAGCCUGACGGAGCGACGCCGCGUGAGCGAAGAAGGCCUUCGGGUCGUAAAGCUCUGUUGUGAGGGACGAAGGGAGCGCCGUUCGAAGAGGGCGGCGCGGUGACGGUACCUCACGAGAAAGCCCCCGGCUAACUACGUG
This 529-nucleotide ribosomal RNA is filed under the name uncultured Geobacillus sp. RNAcentral describes it as "bacterial SSU rRNA". It matches the Rfam family "Bacterial small subunit ribosomal RNA", at positions 1 to 507 of the family's 1533-position model. Lineage: Bacteria; Bacillati; Bacillota; Bacilli; Caryophanales; Anoxybacillaceae. The record is from RNAcentral.